This 72-nucleotide transfer RNA is filed under the name Bos taurus (domestic cattle). It matches the Rfam family "tRNA". Rfam says of the family: Transfer RNA (tRNA) molecules are approximately 80 nucleotides in length. Lineage: Eukaryota; Metazoa; Chordata; Mammalia; Artiodactyla; Bovidae. RNAcentral also lists the same sequence under 4 other names. The record is from Rfam by way of RNAcentral.
UCCCUGGUGGUCUGGUGGUUAAGACCUUGCACUUGCAUUGCAAAUGCACAGGUUCGAUCCUUGGUCAGGGAA